GAUGAACGCUGGCGGUAUGCUUAACACAUGCAAGUCGAACGGUCACUUCGGUGAUAGUGGCGGACGGGUGAGUAACGCGUGAGAAUCUGUCUUCAGGUCGGGGACAACAGUUAGAAAUGACUGCUAAUACCGGAUAUGCCUUAUGGUGAAAGAUUUAUUGCCUGAAAGAGAGCUCGCGUCAGAUUAGCUAGUAGGUGGUGUAAGAGACUACCUAGGCGACGAUCUGUAGCUGGUCUGAGAGGACGAUCAGCCACACUGGAACUGAGACACGGUCCAGACUCCUACGGGAGGCAGCAGUGGGGAAUUUUCCGCAAUGGGCGAAAGCCUGACGGAGCAAUACCGCGUGAGGGACGAAGGCCUUUGGGUCGUAAACCUCUUUUCUCAAGGAAGAUUUAGACGGUACUUGAGGAAUAAGCAUCGGCUAACUCUGUGCCAGCAGCCGCGGUAAU
Molecule: ribosomal RNA, 449 nt
Filed under: uncultured cyanobacterium
Lineage: Bacteria; Bacillati; Cyanobacteriota
Description: bacterial SSU rRNA
Rfam family: Bacterial small subunit ribosomal RNA
Source: RNAcentral